UACGUAGGUGGCAAGCGUUGUCCGGAAUUAUUGGGCGUAAAGCGCGCGCAGGCGGUCCUUUAAGUCUGAUGUGAAAGCCCACGGCUCAACCGUGGAGGGUCAUUGGAAACUGGGGGACUUGAGUGCAGAAGAGGAAAGCGGAAUUCCACGUGUAGCGGUGAAAUGCGUAGAGAUGUGGAGGAACACCAGUGGCGAAGGCGGCUUUCUGGUCUGUAACUGACGCUGAGGUGCGAAAGCGUGGGGAGCAAACAGG
RNAcentral lists this ribosomal RNA (253 nucleotides) under uncultured bacterium. Its description in RNAcentral is "partial 16S ribosomal RNA". It matches the Rfam family "Bacterial small subunit ribosomal RNA", at positions 524 to 776 of the family's 1533-position model. The record is from RNAcentral.